RNAcentral lists this ribosomal RNA (444 nucleotides) under uncultured prokaryote. RNAcentral's name for it is "bacterial SSU rRNA". It matches the Rfam family "Bacterial small subunit ribosomal RNA", at positions 355 to 796 of the family's 1533-position model. The record is from RNAcentral.
UUUCGAAUCAUUCACAAUGGGGGAAACCCUGAUGGUGCAACGCCGCGUGGGGGAUGACGGUCCUCGGAUUGUAAACCCCUGUCACCAAGGACUAAAACACAGGUUCAUAGCCUGUGCUGAAUUAACUUGGAGAGGAAGCAGUGGCUAACUCCGUGCCAGCAGCCGCGGUAAUACGGAGACUGCAAGCGUUAUUCGGAUUCACUGGGCGUAAAGCGUGCGUAGGCUGACUGGUGUGUCAGGUGUGAAAUCCCGGGGCUCAACUCCGGAACUGCGCCUGAAACUACCAGACUAGAGUUUUGGAGAGGAAAGCGGAAUUCCAGGUGUAGCAGUGAAAUGCGUAGAUAUCUGGAGGAACACCAACGGCGAAGGCAGCUUUCUGGACAAAUACUGACGCUGAGGUACGAAAGUGUGGGGAGCGAAAGGGAUUAGAUACCCCCGUAGUCC